Non-coding RNA from Clostridium sp. CAG:253, 266 nucleotides. The record is from Rfam. NCBI's taxonomy places the organism in Bacteria, Bacillati, Bacillota, Clostridia, Eubacteriales, Clostridiaceae.
CCGUGCUAGCCGGGGAAUUAGCGGCGCCCUAUAACCUGCAAUCCGCUAUAGCAGGGGUGAUGUCCUGUUUAGGGCUUGUCAUUUGUGAUGCUGCCCUCAGUAAGUGGCGUUGACGUUUUGGUCUUGCGCAAUGGAAACUCAUGAACCGUGUCAGGAGGGGAACCUAGCAGCACUAAGUGAGAAUUUUCGUGUGCCGUAAGGUAGCCGGAGCCGAGUUAACUGCCGGGGUAACGGUCACACUGACAUUUUCAACGCAGGGCGCACGG